GCGGGUCUGCUCUGCACACUGCCCCCUCCCCAAGUGCCACUCCCCCAGCUCCAAUUGGCCGGGAGCCACUUGGGGAGGGGGCAGCGUGAAGAGCGGAGCCCCCUGGCUUCCCCUAUGCAUAGGAGCUGGAGCGAGGCCAUGCCGCUGCUUCCGGGAGCUGCUUGAGAGCUACAAAUCUACUGGGAGUAACCUCCUCUCGCACACUUCUGUGACAUUCAAGUCAAAAAAGUACUUGGAACUAGCUACAACAUACAAGAGUAGAACUUCAGUGAACUUUCCUCCCCAACCUGCAGACUCCCUAUCAAUAAGUAGAAAGUUGUGUAAGAACCCCAGGGCAGUGUAAGAACCUAUACAGAACAGAAUAGAAUUCUAAACUUCAGGACUGCAGUACCCAUUCUCCCCGGGACCACAAAAGGAUCCACCUAUGUCCAUCACGUU
This is a long non-coding RNA of Caretta caretta (loggerhead turtle), 438 nucleotides long. RefSeq lists it as uncharacterized. The record is from RefSeq and is a predicted model, not a curated record. NCBI's taxonomy places the organism in Eukaryota, Metazoa, Chordata, Testudines, Cheloniidae.